This 21-nucleotide non-coding RNA is filed under the name Caenorhabditis elegans. The record is from RNAcentral. Lineage: Eukaryota; Metazoa; Nematoda; Chromadorea; Rhabditida; Rhabditidae.
UGAAGCUAAUUUAUAUCUCAA